RNAcentral lists this ribosomal RNA (253 nucleotides) under uncultured bacterium. Its description in RNAcentral is "partial 16S ribosomal RNA". It matches the Rfam family "Bacterial small subunit ribosomal RNA", at positions 524 to 776 of the family's 1533-position model. The record is from RNAcentral.
UACGUAGGGUGCGAGCGUUGUCCGGAAUUAUUGGGCGUAAAGAGCUUGUAGGCGGUUUGUCGCGUCUGCCGUGAAAUUUCGAGGCUCAACCUCGAACUUGCGGUGGGUACGGGCAGACUAGAGUGUGGUAGGGGAGACUGGAAUUCCUGGUGUAGCGGUGAAAUGCGCAGAUAUCAGGAGGAACACCGAUGGCGAAGGCAGGUCUCUGGGCCACUACUGACGCUGAGAAGCGAAAGCAUGAGGAGCGAACAGG